Molecule: signal recognition particle RNA, 299 nt
Filed under: Saimiri boliviensis boliviensis (Bolivian squirrel monkey)
Lineage: Eukaryota; Metazoa; Chordata; Mammalia; Primates; Cebidae
Description: Metazoan signal recognition particle RNA (ENSSBOG00000001951.1)
Rfam family: Metazoan signal recognition particle RNA
About the family: The signal recognition particle (SRP) is a universally conserved ribonucleoprotein. It is involved in the co-translational targeting of proteins to membranes. The eukaryotic SRP consists of a 300-nucleotide 7S RNA and six proteins: SRPs 72, 68, 54, 19, 14, and 9.
Source: RNAcentral
ACUGGCCACGGUGGUGUGUGCCUGUAGUCCCAGCUACUCGGGAGGCUGAGGCUGGAGGAUCACUUGAGCCCAGGAGUUCGGGGCUGUAGAGUGCUAUGCCGAUCGGGUGUCUACACUAACUUCGGCAUCAAUCUGGUGACCUCCCGGGAAUAGGGAACCACCGGGUUGUCUAAGGAGGGGUGAACCAGCCCAGGUCGGAAACAGAGCAGGUCAAAACUCCCAUGGUAAGCAGUAGUGGGGUCGCACCUGUGAAUAGCCACUGCACUCCAGCCUGGGCAACAUAGCGAGACCCCGUCUCU